Molecule: ribosomal RNA, 467 nt
Filed under: uncultured bacterium
Lineage: Bacteria
Description: bacterial SSU rRNA
Rfam family: Bacterial small subunit ribosomal RNA
Source: RNAcentral
UCCCCAGACUCCUACGGGAGGCAGCAGUGAGGAAUAUUGGUCAAUGGGCGCGAGCCUGAACCAGCCAAGUCGCGUGAGGGAGGACGGCCCUACGGGUUGUAAACCUCUUUUGCCGGGGAGCAACGGGCGUCACGUGUGGCGCCACUGAGAGUACCCGGAGAAAAAGCAUCGGCUAACUCCGUGCCAGCAGCCGCGGUAAUACGGAGGAUGCGAGCGUUAUCCGGAUUUAUUGGGUUUAAAGGGUGCGCAGGCGGAAUGUCAAGUCAGCGGUAAAAUUUCGGGGCUCAACCCCGUCGUGCCGUUGAAACUGGCGUUCUUGAGUGAGCGAGAAGUAUGCGGAAUGCGUGGUGUAGCGGUGAAAUGCAUAGAUAUCACGCAGAACUCCGAUUGCGAAGGCAGCAUACCGGCGCUCAACUGACGCUCAUGCACGAAAGCGUGGGUAUCGAACAGGAUUAGAUACCCCUGUA